RNAcentral lists this ribosomal RNA (377 nucleotides) under uncultured Desulfovibrio sp. RNAcentral's name for it is "bacterial SSU rRNA". It matches the Rfam family "Bacterial small subunit ribosomal RNA", at positions 1009 to 1382 of the family's 1533-position model. Lineage: Bacteria; Pseudomonadati; Thermodesulfobacteriota; Desulfovibrionia; Desulfovibrionales; Desulfovibrionaceae. The record is from RNAcentral.
GAGAAGUGCUUUAGCAAUAAGAACCCGGUGACAGGUGCUGCAUGGCUGUCGUCAGCUCGUGUCGUGAGAUGUUGGGUUAAGUCCCGCAACGAGCGCAACCCUCGCCUUUAGUUGCCAGCAUUCAGUUGGGCACUCUAGAGGGACUGCCGGUGUCAAACCGGAGGAAGGUGGGGAUGACGUCAAGUCCUCAUGGCCUUUAUGUCUAGGGCUACACACGUACUACAAUGGCCGGUACAAAGGGCAGCCACUCAGCGAUGAGGCGCUAAUCCCAUAAAGCCGGUCUCAGUCCGGAUCGCAGUCUGCAACUCGACUGCGUGAAGUUGGAGUCGCUAGUAAUCGUAGAUCAGCAUGCUACGGUGAAUACGUUCCCGGGCCUU